This 497-nucleotide ribosomal RNA is filed under the name uncultured bacterium. Its description in RNAcentral is "partial 16S ribosomal RNA". It matches the Rfam family "Bacterial small subunit ribosomal RNA", at positions 28 to 507 of the family's 1533-position model. The record is from RNAcentral.
GAUGAACGCUGGCGGCGUGCCUAACACAUGCAAGUCGAGCGACAACACGAUGAGCUCGCGCCCCUGACGUUAGCGGCGGGCGGGCGAGUAACACGUGGAUCACCUACCUCUAUUUCUGGGAUAAUUUCGGGAGACCGGUGACAAUACUGCAUAAUAUAUCCUACCGCUGGGUUCAAUAGAGAUUGACGCCUUUCCCGUCUCUUUUAGCUGGUUCCGCGCCGCAUUAGCUAGUUGGUAAGGUAACGGCCUACCAAGGCGACGAUGCGUAGCCGACCUGAGAGGGUGAUCAGCCACACUGGAACUGAGACACGGUCCAGACUCCUACGGGAGGCAGCAGUGGGGAAUAUUCGACAAUGGGCGAAAGCCUGAUGCAGCCACGCCGCGUGAGUGAAGAAGGUCUUCGGAUUGUAAAACUCUGUUGUUGGGGAAGAACAGCUGUGUAUGUAUCUAUGCACGUCUUGACGGUACCUAAUGAGAAAGCCCCGGCUAACUACGUG